UGGGGAAUUUUGGACAAUGGGCGAAAGCCUGAUCCAGCAAUGCCGCGUGUGUGAAGAAGGCCUUCGGGUUGUAAAGCACUUUUGUCCGGAAAGAAAUCCUUGGCUCUAAGUACAGUCGGGGGAUGACGGUACCGGAAGAAUAAGCACCGGCUAACUACGUGCCAGCAGCCGCGGUAAUACGUAGGGUGCAAGCGUUAAUCGGAAUUACUGGGCGUAAAGCGUGCGCAGGCGGUUUGCUAAGACCGAUGUGAAAUCCCCGGGCUCAACCUGGGAACUGCAUUGGUGACUGGCAGGCUAGAGUAUGGCAGAGGGGGGUAGAAUUCCACGUGUAGCAGUGAAAUGCGUAGAGAUGUGGAGGAAUACCGAUGGCGAAGGCAGCCCCCUGGGCCAAUACUGACGCUCAUGCACGAAAGCGUGGGGAGCAAACAGGAUUAGAUACCCUGGUAGUCCACGCCCUAAACGAUGUCAACUAGUUGUUGGGGAUUCAUUUCCUUAGUAACGUAGCUAACGCGUGAAGUUGACCGCCUGGGGAGUACGGUCGCAAGAUUAAACUUAAUG
RNAcentral lists this ribosomal RNA (558 nucleotides) under uncultured bacterium. RNAcentral describes it as "partial 16S ribosomal RNA". It matches the Rfam family "Bacterial small subunit ribosomal RNA", at positions 355 to 906 of the family's 1533-position model. The record is from RNAcentral.